Non-coding RNA from Misgurnus anguillicaudatus (oriental weatherfish), 2109 nucleotides. Lineage: Eukaryota; Metazoa; Chordata; Actinopteri; Cypriniformes; Cobitidae. The record is from RefSeq and is a predicted model, not a curated record.
UGUUGACAGUGCAGGUGCUGUAUAAUGUUAAAGAUGUCCUGAUGUUCCUCUUCUGACCAGCAGGUGUCGCCCCUCCCUCACAUCUGAACAUAAAGAGAGGCGGCCAUGUUUAACUUCCACACCAGAGGAACAGCAGCAGCAGACUUUCUUCAUUAUAGAAACUCUUUCCUCAAAAAUGUGUCAUUUAGCAACACAAUAAACAUCUGCUGGACAGACAGCAUUACAACACACUUAUACAGACGAUCAACUGAAGACAUUUCUGCCACGUUGCUUGUUUAAAGUUGCAUAUGAAUCUGUGAAUUCAAACUAUAACUUCAUCUUGAGCCUUGCAUAUCAACAUAGAGACAGAUUCAAGAGUUUCAGUGUCUCAAAGCAGAUAGGAGUCUGUUGGACAACACAAUUUCACAGAAAUGUAUUUUAUGAGCUGGCUUCUUAUUUAUUUGUACGACCACAUUCAUACGUUUAUGUACGAUUAGCUUUGGCCCGUCACGUUGGGGUUAUGGGUAGGGUUUCAUUAUUGUUUUCAAUAAUCGUACAUUUUUGUACGUAAUUCACUUGAUACGAAGACCAAUCAGCCAACUUGUAAAAUACAUGUUGGACCGGAUGACAGCGAGCAGAUCUGGAUGUUUAAUGAUGUCUGUGAUGGAGUCUGAAGAUAUCAGUCAGGAAUGAUAUGAUCUGUGUUUGAUCUGGACAGACAGGAAGACGCUUCGGGCGUUUACAUCACAACAUCGGCUCUUCUCAACAGCACACGGUCAAAAUGUCAGCUGAGUCUCUCAAAUACUGCGAUUAAAAUGAGGAAAAGAAACCCUGAGACUUUAUCACCUCAUGCUGGGAACAUUAAAGAGCGGACGUUGUGUGUGUGAGAGAGCCAGAGAGAUAUAGAAACGCAGGGAGUCGGGGAUUUGUCGCUGGCUAUCUUGAGUGUUUUGGUAUGAGCUCUACUGAAGACUUCUUCAUAUUCUGAUUGUAAAAAUGCAGCAAAACCGUCAAUGUGUUUGAUGUGCUAAUAUCAGCAGCUUCAAAGAGAAAGUCUCUCUUAUCUGUUAGCUGUUCACACAGGGAUGUUGGACUUUACUUCUACUUCAGUCAUGUCAGUUCAGAGCUCGCUUCAGACGUGAUCAGAAUCUGUACACAUCCAGAAGAGUUUAUUAUCAGGACUGUCAACACAGUUCUUGAUGUGUUUAGCUUUUCUUUGUGUGUAAUUGGUAUUCAAGGCUAGGCCCCUUUGAUAUUUCCAAAUAUUAUUUUCACCAAUGCUGAGUUAUCUCUAAGAUCUCAUGGUUGUGGCCAUUAUUCACCUGUGAUGAUGAUGAUGAUGAUGAUGAUACACCUGGACACCACAGCCUAACAGCCUGAAUAAAGUCGCUUAUGCAGUUCUUGCAUCUGCGCAGACGCUGUGCCGUCCUUUAGCCCCGUCAGCUGCAGACUCUUCAUAUUCCUGACGCUGCUUUUUUCAGGGUGACAACUUCGUCUGUCAGCACUUCUGCCAGUGAUCGGUCAAAUGACGAGAAUUCAUGAAACGCUGCACCGACCUUCGGAGAGGAAAACCAUUUCCCGUUUUCAUCCAGCAGACAGGCAGGACAAAAGUUGCUGUGAUUAUGAGCUGAUUCUGGGUCAGUUGGGUCAGUUGUUUCUCACUUUAUUUGACAUAACAGAUUAGUUCUCAUAAAUGACCCUGAUCCUGGAUCAGCAGCAUUUUUCAAUUCCUUUGUUUUGAAAACUUAAAGGUGCCAUAGAAUGUAAAACUGUAUUUAUGUAGGCAUAGAUGAAUAAUAAGAGUUGUGUAGAUGGUAAUGACAUAUCAUGCGCCUCAAACACGAUUGUUUCCUCCUUCUUAUGUAAACCUCAAGCAUGCAAAAAAAACGCUUGAAAACAGACCAAUCUCAACAUAACUGUGACGUUACAGUCCAGAUGUACACCCCAACAUUAAAUUAAGAACAAUGUUGUUACAAUUCUAAAAACAAAGUUGUGCUAUAUGCUAGUUAGCACUACAUGCUAGUUUACGCUAUAUGCUAGUUAAUGCUAUAUGCUAGCAUUUAGGCUGACGUACUAAUGACGUUACAGUUACGUUUUGCAGGUCCAUACUGAAAAAAACACAAACUUACC